This 350-nucleotide ribosomal RNA is filed under the name uncultured bacterium. RNAcentral's name for it is "bacterial SSU rRNA". It matches the Rfam family "Bacterial small subunit ribosomal RNA", at positions 355 to 702 of the family's 1533-position model. The record is from RNAcentral.
UAAGGAAUAUUGGUCAAUGGUGGGAACACUGAACCAGCCAUCCCGCGUGCAGGACGAAGGCCCUCUGGGUUGUAAACUGCUUUUACCAGGAAAGAAACGAGCGGAUUCAUCUGCUCCUGACGGUACCUGGGGAAUAAGCACCGGCUAACUCCGUGCCAGCAGCCGCGGUAAUACGGAGGGUGCAAGCGUUAUCCGGAAUCACUGGGUUUAAAGGGUGCGUAGGCGGCUUGGUAAGUCAGGGGUGAAAGCUUCCCGCUCAACGGGAGAACUGCCCUUGAUACUGCCUGGCUCGAAUUGGGUUGAGGCUGGCGGAAUGUGGCAUGUAGCGGUGAAAUGCUUAGAUAUGCCAU